GUACCACAAUGCUUCGGCAGCGUGGAUAGUGAUCCUAACCAGGCUCCCAAGAAAAACCUCUAAACUUAUGAAUAUGGUACCCGUACCGCAAACCGACACAGGUAGUCAAGAUGAGAAAUCUAAGGCGCUCGAGUGAUUCAUGGCUAAGGAACUAGGCAAAAUCGCCCUGUAACUUCGGGAGAAGGGGCGCCCCCGCUUCGGCGGGGGCCGCAGUGAAAAGGCCCAGGCGACUGUUUAGCAAAAACACAUGGCUUUGCAAAAUCGAAAGAUGAAGUAUAAGGCCUGACACCUGCCCGGUGCCGGAAGGUUAAGGGGGGGCGUUAUCCUUUGGGAGAAGCGCUGAACUGAAGCCCCGGUAAACGGCGGCCGUAAUUAUAAUGGUCCUAAGGUAGCGAAAUUUUUUGUCGGGUAAGUUCCGACCUGCACGAAUGGUGUAACGAUCUGGGCACUGUCUCAGCCAUGAGCUCGGUGAAAUUGUAGUCGCGGUGAAGAUGCCGCGUACCCGCAACGGGACGGGAAGACCCCGUGAACCUUUACUAUAGCUUCACAUUGACAUUGGGUAAGGGAUGUGUAGGAUAGGUGGGAGACUACGAAGUGGUGUUGUCAGGCAUCGUGGAGUCAACCUUGAAAUACCACCCUUUCCUUAUCUGAUGCCUAACCCCUGACGGGGGACAUUGUGUGGUGGGUAGUUUGACUGGGGUGGUCGCCUCCAAAAUAGUAACGGAGGCUUUCAAAGGUACCCUCAGCACGAUCGGUAACCGUGCGUAGAGUGCAAUAGCAUAAGGGUGCUUGACUGUGAGGCCUACAAGCCGAGCAGGUACGAAAGUAGGAUAUAGUGAUCCGGUGGUUCCGAAUGGAAGGGCCAUCGCUCAAAGGAUAAAAGGUACUCCGGGGAUAACAGGCUGAUCGCUCCCAAGAGUUUAUAUCGACGGAGCGGUUUGGCACCUCGAUGUCGGCUCGUCACAUCCUGGGGCUGGAGAAGGUCCCAAGGGUUGGGCUGUUCGCCCAUUAAAGUGGCACGCGAGCUGGGUUCAGAACGUCGUGAGACAGUUCGGUCCCUAUCUGUUGUGGGCGUAGGAAGCUUGAGAGGACCUGACUUUAGUACGAGAGGACCGAGUUGGACAUACCGCUGGUGUAUCAGUUGUGCCGCCAGGUGCACUGCUGAGUAGCUACGUGUGGUCGAGAUAAGCGCUGAAAGCAUCUAGGCAC
Molecule: ribosomal RNA, 1209 nt
Filed under: metagenome
Description: bacterial LSU rRNA
Rfam family: Bacterial large subunit ribosomal RNA
Source: RNAcentral